Molecule: ribosomal RNA, 499 nt
Filed under: uncultured bacterium
Lineage: Bacteria
Description: bacterial SSU rRNA
Rfam family: Bacterial small subunit ribosomal RNA
Source: RNAcentral
AUUGAACGCUGGCGGCAUGCCUAACACAUGCAAGUCGAACGGAGGUAGGGGCAACUCUACUUCAGUGGCGGACGGGUGAGGAAUGCGUCGGAAUCUACCCUAUGGUGGGGGAUAACACAGGGAAACUUGUGCUAAUACCGCAUAAUGUCGAGAGACCAAAGCAGGGGACCGCAAGGCCUUGCGCGAUAGGAUGAGCCGACGCCCGAUUAGCUAGUUGGUAGGGUAAAGGCCUACCAAGGCGACGAUCGGUAGCUGGUCUGAGAGGAUGAUCAGCCACACUGGGACUGAGACACGGCCCAGACUCCUACGGGAGGCAGCAGUGGGGAAUAUUGGACAAUGGGCGCAAGCCUGAUCCAGCAAUGCCGCGUGUGUGAAGAAGGCCUGCGGGUUGUAAAGCACUUUUUGUUCGGGAAGAAAUCAUGCUGGUUAAUACCUGGUAUGGAUGACGGUACCGAAAGAAUAAGCAACCGGGCUAACUUCGUGCCAGCAGCCGCGGUAA